RNAcentral lists this ribosomal RNA (508 nucleotides) under uncultured bacterium. RNAcentral's name for it is "partial 16S ribosomal RNA". It matches the Rfam family "Bacterial small subunit ribosomal RNA", at positions 28 to 507 of the family's 1533-position model. The record is from RNAcentral.
GACGAACGCUGGCGGCGUGCCUAAUACAUGCAAGUCGAACGCUUCUUUCCUCCCGAGUGCUUGCACUCAAUUGGAAAGAGGAGUGGCGGACGGGUGAGUAACACGUGGGUAACCUACCCAUCAGUGGGGGAUAACACGUGGAAACAGGUGCUAAUACCGCAUAACAGUUUAUGCCGCAUGGCAUAAGAGUGAAAGGCGCUUUCGGGUGUCGUUGAUGGAUGGACCCGCGGUGCAUUAGAUAGUUGGGGAGGUAACGGCACACCAAGGCCACGAUGCAUAGCCGAACGCAGAGAGUGAUAGCCGACCUUGGGGCGGGACCGCGGCCAAGGGUCCUGCGAGAGGCAGCAGUAGGGAAUCGUCGGCAAUGGACGAAAGUCUGACCGAGCAAGGCCACGUGAGUGAAGAAGGUGUCCGGAUCGUAAAGCUGUGUUGUGAGAGAAAAACAAGUACGUUAGGAAAUGAACGGCGACUGACGGUAACUAACCAGAAAGCAACGGCUAACUACGUG